GUAAUAUCCAACCUUGACCACGGAUCUGGAGCAACCGCUGACGGAAGAGAAGAAAUGAACAAUGAACACAACAUAACACAAAAAUGCACAAUAUACACGGACAUAUAGUUAAAGAAAUGAAUACGACUUAGCCAGCUUGGCUGCUGGACCAGAGGGUUGCAAAAACGGUCUAAUCCCCCAAUCCCGGGGGGUGGUAGUGGUCAGCCAUCCCCCCAUCCUGGCUGGGGUGACCGACUCCCAUCUCCCAUCUUAGGGGCCCGGUGCUAAUCCCAUCCCUUGAGACAGGUUUCCCAUCCUGCCAGCCUGGGUCCCAUCCCCAAUCCUAUGGCCAGGGUUUCCAAUCCCAUCCUGCAGCUGUGUUCCCCCAAUCCUCAUCCUGCCAGCCAGGGUCCCUUCCCAAUCCCUUCGACCAGGGCCAUCCCCAUCCUGCAGCUGUGUUCAGAUCCGAAAGCUGUCAGCCAGGGUCCCAUCCCCAUCCCUUGCCAGCUACAAACCUACUCCUUACGUUUACACAGGUGCUGUAAUAUCGGCUUUCUCUUUAGGCGUAAAUCAGGGGAAUGACCAGGGUUAUUUUCUAUUUCCGCGAGAUAUUUUUCUCUUGCUCUAUGGCUUAUUUCCUC
This 620-nucleotide long non-coding RNA is filed under the name Volvox carteri. RNAcentral describes it as "long non-coding RNA (VCAR_LNC003854)". The record is from RNAcentral. Lineage: Eukaryota; Viridiplantae; Chlorophyta; Chlorophyceae; Chlamydomonadales; Volvocaceae.